UUAAGCAUAUCAAUAAGCGGAGGAAAAGAAACCAACCGGGAUUACCUCAGUAACGGCGAGUGAAGCGGUAACAGCUCAAAUUUGAAAUCUGGCUCCUUCGGAGUCCGAGUUGUAAUUUGUAGAAGAUGCUUUGGGUUGUGGGCUCGGCCUAAGUUCCUUGGAACAGGACGUCAUAGAGGGUGAGAAUCCCGUAUGUGGCCAUGGCCCGCGCCUAUGUAAAGCUCUUUCGACGAGUCGAGUUGUUUGGGAAUGCAGCUCAAAAUGGGUGGUAAAUUUCAUCUAAAGCUAAAUAUGGGCCAGAGACCGAUAGCGCACAAGUAGAGUGAUCGAAAGAUGAAAAGCACUUUGGAAAGAGAGUUAAACAGUACGUGAAAUUGUUGAAAGGGAAGCGCUUGCAACCAGACUUGGGCGCUGCCGAUCACCCCGAGUUCUCUCGGGUGCACUCGACAGCGCACAGGCCAGCAUCGGUUCGGGUGGCUGGAUAAAGGCCGUAGGAAUGUAGCUCUCUUCGGGGAGUGUUAUAGCCCACGGUGCCAUGCAGCCCAGCCGGACCGAGGACCGCGCCUUCGGGCUAGGAUGCUGGCGUAAUGGUUGUAAGCGACCCGUCUUGAAA
Molecule: ribosomal RNA, 613 nt
Filed under: Erysiphe macleayae
Lineage: Eukaryota; Fungi; Ascomycota; Leotiomycetes; Helotiales; Erysiphaceae
Also listed under: 1 other name
Description: eukaryotic LSU rRNA
Rfam family: Eukaryotic large subunit ribosomal RNA
Source: RNAcentral